This 251-nucleotide ribosomal RNA is filed under the name uncultured prokaryote. RNAcentral describes it as "partial 16S rRNA". It matches the Rfam family "Bacterial small subunit ribosomal RNA", at positions 525 to 775 of the family's 1533-position model. The record is from RNAcentral.
ACGGAGGAUGCAAGCGUUAUCCGGAUUCAUUGGGUUUAAAGGGUGCGCAGGCGGAAUGAUAAGUCAGUGGUGAAAUCCUACGGCUCAACUGUAGAACUGCCAUUGAUACUGUCGUUCUUGAGUACACUUGGAGUGGGCGGAAUGUGUCAUGUAGCGGUGAAAUGCUGAGAUACGUGGCAGAACACCGAUGGCGAAGGCGUCUCACUAUAUUGUAUCUGACGGUCAGGAACGAAAGCGUGGGGAUCAAACAG